Molecule: ribosomal RNA, 329 nt
Filed under: uncultured eukaryote
Lineage: Eukaryota
Description: partial 18S ribosomal RNA
Rfam family: Eukaryotic small subunit ribosomal RNA
Source: RNAcentral
CCCUUAGAUGUUCUGGGCCGCACGCGCGCUACACUGAUGCAUUCAACGAGUCUAAAACCUGCUCUGAUAGGGGUGGGUAAUCUUUUGAGUGUGCAUCGUGAUUGGGAUAGAUGAUUGCAAUUUUUCAUCUUCAACGAGGAAUGCCUAGUAAACGCAAGUCAUCAGCUUGCAUUGAUUACGUCCCUGCCCUUUGUACACACCGCCCGUCGCUCCUACCGAUUGAAUGAUCCGAUGAAUAUCAUGGAUUGAGGAUGCAAGUAGGUUCGCCUAUCUUCAUCUUCGAGAAGUGAAGUAAAUCUUAUCAUUUAGAGGAAGGAGAAGUCGUAACA